GCGUCGGUGGUGGAGUGGUCAAUCACAACAGACUGUAAAUCUGUCGCCUCCGGGCUUCGUUGGUUCAAAUCCAACCCGGCGCA
RNAcentral lists this transfer RNA (83 nucleotides) under Minisyncoccota bacterium. Its description in RNAcentral is "tRNA-Tyr". It matches the Rfam family "tRNA". From Rfam's summary of the family: Transfer RNA (tRNA) molecules are approximately 80 nucleotides in length. Their secondary structure includes four short double-helical elements and three loops (D, anti-codon, and T loops). Further hydrogen bonds mediate the characteristic L-shaped molecular structure. tRNAs have two regions of fundamental functional importance: the anti-codon, which is responsible for specific mRNA codon recognition, and the 3' end, to which the tRNAs corresponding amino acid is attached (by aminoacyl-tRNA synthetases). tRNAs cope with the degeneracy of the genetic code in two manners: having more than one tRNA (with a specific anti-codon) for a particular amino acid; and 'wobble' base-pairing, i.e. permitting non-standard base-pairing at the 3rd anti-codon position. Lineage: Bacteria; Bacillati; Minisyncoccota. The record is from RNAcentral.